Molecule: ribosomal RNA, 587 nt
Filed under: uncultured bacterium
Lineage: Bacteria
Description: bacterial SSU rRNA
Rfam family: Bacterial small subunit ribosomal RNA
Source: RNAcentral
CCUACGGGAGGCAGCAGUAGGGAAUCUUCCGCAAUGGACGAAAGUCUGACGGAGCAACGCCGCGUGAACGAUGAAGGCCUUCGGGUCGUAAAGUUCUGUUGUUAGGGAAGAACAAGUACCGGAGUAACUGCCGGUACCUUGACGGUACCUAACCAGAAAGCCACGGCUAACUACGUGCCAGCAGCCGCGGUAAUACGUAGGUGGCAAGCGUUGUCCGGAAUUAUUGGGCGUAAAGCGCGCGCAGGCGGUCCUUUAAGUCUGAUGUGAAAGCCCACGGCUCAACCGUGGAGGGUCAUUGGAAACUGGGGGACUUGAGUACUGAAGAGGAAAGUGGAAUUCCACGUGUAGCGGUGAAAUGCGUAGAGAUGUGGAGGAACACCAGUGGCGAAGGCGACUUUCUGGUCAGUAACUGACGCUGAGGCGCGAAAGCGUGGGGAGCAAACAGGAUUAGAUACCCUGGUAGUCCACGCCGUAAACGAUGAGUGCUAAGUGUUAGAGGGUUUCCGCCCUUUAGUGCUGCAGCUAACGCAUUAAGCACUCCGCCUGGGGAGUACGGCCGCAAGGCUGAAACUCAAAGGAAUUGACGG